GUGGACUGUAGGCUUAUUAUCCUUUGCUUUAUGUCUGAUAUCCACUUAUGAUGAGACAUGCCUGCUUCUGGCUGCACCAAUUACUUCAGAGAGGUUGAUGGGCAUUGAAGACACUUAUUAUGGAAUCUACUUUCAAUGUGACAAGUCUAGCCAUUUGGGCAAGAAACUGCUCUUGCCUGGACUGCUUUAUGGUAUGCUGUAUGAACUGGACAUGCUGGACCCACAGGAAAAUGACUGCUGAAUUUCCCAAAAGAAGGUGAGACAGUUCUUCAGGGAUCCUGCUUCAUGAAAGAGUCUGCCUGACAUUUUGCAGAACCCAGAAGAAAGAGCCGGACAAACUGCCAAUAAAGGUGAAAUAGUCUUUCAAAUUUCCUCCUUCACUGAAAAGUCUGCUGAAUACUAUGGGCCUGUAGGCUGAAUACGGAUGCUCCAAUGUUAAAGAAGAACUUUGGGGUCUCAAGUAUCCUAGGGUGCCCUCAAACUUCCUAUGUAUUGAAGAAUCACCUUGAACUUUGGACCCUCCUGCCUCUACCUGUCAAAUGCUGGGAUGACAAGCAUAUGGUACCACCCUGGUUUCUUCAGUGCCAGUGUCAACUAGGAGCUUCAUGAGUCCUGGGGAAACACUCUGACAACUGAGCUACAGCCCUGGCUCUUUAUGUAAUUCUUAAUCUUUCCCCCUUAUUAUCAAGGGCUCGCAACAUGUGUCUGACCAGGACCCUGAGAAGACAUAUGUUUAAAAUGAGAUGACACAUGUUAAUGAACCCAUCAUGGGGUCACACAUAAGAUAAACAUGUAUGUUUCUACUCAUGUCAUGCUACCUGGAGGCUUUCAUGAGCAGGUAUGCAUGUAUAAAGGUUAGCUAGGUAGCUGGUAGUUCUGCAUAUUCCUAGUCAACAACACACAGACUCUCAUCUCUGCAACCCUCAUCUCUGCAGAUCAGUAGCUAGUCCAGGAUGGCUCUCUCUGUUGUGAGUAGCAUAAGAUUGAAAUAAAGGUACUGGUUUUGUCUGGAGGAGCAUCUCCUCCCAACCUCCUCCAGGCAUCAGUGUAGUU
This is a long non-coding RNA of Arvicola amphibius (Eurasian water vole), 1053 nucleotides long. RefSeq lists it as uncharacterized. The record is from RefSeq and is a predicted model, not a curated record. Lineage: Eukaryota; Metazoa; Chordata; Mammalia; Rodentia; Cricetidae. The transcript is spliced from 3 exons.